UACGUAGGGGCAAGCGUUGUCCGGAAUCAUUGGGCGUAAAGAGCGCGUAGGCGGCCCAGUAAGUCCGCUCUGAAAGUCAGGGCUCAACCCUGAAUGCGGGUGGAUACUGCUGGGCUAGAGUCCGGAAGAGGCGAGUGGAAUUCCUGGUGUAGCGGUGAAAUGCGCAGAUAUCAGGAGGAACACCAAUGGCGAAGGCAGCUCGCUGGGACGGUACUGACGCUGAGGCGCGAAGCGUGGGAGCAACAGG
This 247-nucleotide ribosomal RNA is filed under the name uncultured bacterium. Its description in RNAcentral is "partial 16S ribosomal RNA". It matches the Rfam family "Bacterial small subunit ribosomal RNA", at positions 524 to 776 of the family's 1533-position model. The record is from RNAcentral.